AUUGAACGCUGGCGGCAUGCCUUACACAUGCAAGUCGAACGGUAGCGGACCUUCGGGUGCCGGCGAGUGGCGAACGGGUGAGUAAUAUAUCGGAACGUACCUUUCAGUGGGGGAUAACGUAGCGAAAGUUACGCUAAUACCGCAUAUUCUGUGAGCAGGAAAGCAGGGGAUCGCAAGACCCUGCGCUGAUUGAGCGGCCGAUAUCAGAUUAGCUAGUUGGUGAGGUAAAGGCUCACCAAGGCGACGAUCUGUAGCGGGUCUGAGAGGAUGAUCCGCCACACUGGAACUGAGACACGGUCCAGACUCCUACGGGAGGCAGCAGUGGGGAAUUUUGGACAAUGGGCGCAAGCCUGAUCCAGCCAUGCCGCGUGAGUGAAGAAGGCCU
RNAcentral lists this ribosomal RNA (385 nucleotides) under uncultured bacterium. RNAcentral's name for it is "bacterial SSU rRNA". It matches the Rfam family "Bacterial small subunit ribosomal RNA", at positions 30 to 417 of the family's 1533-position model. The record is from RNAcentral.